AGUAAUCCACCUGGGGAGUACGACCGCAAGGUUGAAACUCAAAGGAAUUGACGGGGGCCCGCACAAGCAGUGGAGUAUGUGGUUUAAUUCGACGCAACGCGAAGAACCUUACCAAGUCUUGACAUCCUGCGACGGUGCUGGAAACAGAACUUUCCUUCGGGACGCAGAGACAGGUGGUGCAUGGUUGUCGUCAGCUCGUGUCGUGAGAUGUUGGGUUAAGUCCCGCAACGAGCGCAACCCUUAUGGUCAGUUACUACGCAAGAGGACUCUGGCCA
RNAcentral lists this ribosomal RNA (275 nucleotides) under Faecalibacterium prausnitzii. RNAcentral describes it as "partial 16S ribosomal RNA". It matches the Rfam family "Bacterial small subunit ribosomal RNA", at positions 863 to 1146 of the family's 1533-position model. Lineage: Bacteria; Bacillati; Bacillota; Clostridia; Eubacteriales; Oscillospiraceae. The record is from RNAcentral.